GAUGAACGCUGGCGGCGUGCCUAAUACAUGCAAGUCGAGCGAGCAGACGAGGAGCUUGCUCCUCUGACGUUAGCGGCGGACGGGUGAGUAACACGUGGAUAACCUACCUAUAAGACUGGGAUAACUUCGGGAAACCGGAGCUAAUACCGGAUAAUAUAUUGAACCGCAUGGUUCAAUAGUGAAAGACGGUUUUGCUGUCACUUAUAGAUGGAUCCGCGCCGCAUUAGCUGGUUGGUAAGGUAACGGCUUACCAAGGCAACGAUGCGUAGCCGACCUGAGAGGGUGAUCGGCCACACUGGAACUGAGACACGGUCCAGACUCCUACGGGAGGCAGCAGUAGGGAAUCUUCCGCAAUGGGCGAAAGCCUGACGGAGCAACGCCGCGUGAGUGAUGAAGGUCUUCGGAUCGUAAAACUCUGUUAUUAGGGAAGAACAAAUGUGUAAGUAACUAUGCACGUCUUGACGGUACCUAAUCAGAAAGCCACGGCUAACUACGUG
Molecule: ribosomal RNA, 497 nt
Filed under: uncultured bacterium
Lineage: Bacteria
Description: partial 16S ribosomal RNA
Rfam family: Bacterial small subunit ribosomal RNA
Source: RNAcentral